GCAGUCGAGCGGUAGCACAGAGAGCUUGCUCUCGGGUGACGAGCGGCGGACGGGUGAGUAAUGUCUGGGAAACUGCCUGAUGGAGGGGGAUAACUACUGGAAACGGUAGCUAAUACCGCAUAACGUCGCAAGACCAAAGUGGGGGACCUUCGGGCCUCAUGCCAUCAGAUGUGCCCAGAUGGGAUUAGCUGGUAGGUGGGGUAACGGCUCACCUAGGCGACGAUCCCUAGCUGGUCUGAGAGGAUGACCAGCCACACUGGAACUGAGACACGGUCCAGACUCCUACGGGAGGCAGCAGUGGGGAAUAUUGCACAAUGGGCGCAAGCCUGAUGCAGCCAUGCCGCGUGUGUGAAGAAGGCCUUCGGGUUGUAAAGCACUUUCAGCGGGGAGGAAGGCGGUGAGGUUAAUAACCUCAUCGAUUGACGUUACCCGCAGAAGAAGCACCGGCUAACUCCGUGCCAGCAGCCGCGGUAAUACGGAGGGUGCAAGCGUUAAUCGGAAUUACUGGGCGUAAAGCGCACGCAGGCGGUCUGUCAAGUCGGAUGUGAAAUCCCCGGGCUCAACCUGGGAACUGCAUUCGAAACUGGCAGGCUAGAGUCUUGUAGAGGGGGGUAGAAUUCCAGGUGUAGCGGUGAAAUGCGUAGAGAUCUGGAGGAAUACCGGUGGCGAAGGCGGCCCCCUGGACAAAGACUGACGCUCAGGUGCGAAAGCGUGGGGAGCAAACAGGAUUAGAUACCCUGGUAGUCCACGCUGUAAACGAUGUCGAUUUGGAGGUUGUGCCCUUGAGGCGUGGCUUCCGGAGCUAACGCGUUAAAUCGACCGCCUGGGGAGUACGGCCGCAAGGUUAAAACUCAAAUGAAUUGACGGGGGCCCGCACAAGCGGUGGAGCAUGUGGUUUAAUUCGAUGCAACGCGAAGAACCUUACCUGGUCUUGACAUCCACAGAACUUUCCAGAGAUGGAUUGGUGCCUUCGGGAACUGUGAGACAGGUGCUGCAUGGCUGUCGUCAGCUCGUGUUGUGAAAUGUUGGGUUAAGUCCCGCAACGAGCGCAACCCUUAUCCUUUGUUGCCAGCGGUCCGGCCGGGAACUCAAAGGAGACUGCCAGUGAUAAACUGGAGGAAGGUGGGGAUGACGUCAAGUCAUCAUGGCCCUUACGACCAGGGCUACACACGUGCUACAAUGGCAUAUACAAAGAGAAGCGACCUCGCGAGAGCAAGCGGACCUCAUAAAGUAUGUCGUAGUCCGGAUUGGAGUCUGCAACUCGACUCCAUGAAGUCGGAAUCGCUAGUAAUCGUAGAUCAGAAUGCUACGGUGAAUACGUUCCCGGGCCUUGUACACACCGCCCGUCACACCAUGGGAGUGGGUUGCAAAAGAAGUAGGUAGCUUAACCUUCGGGAGGGCGCUUACCACUUUGUGAUUCAUGACUGGGGUGAAGUCGUAACAAGAGCCG
RNAcentral lists this ribosomal RNA (1450 nucleotides) under Klebsiella variicola. RNAcentral describes it as "bacterial SSU rRNA". It matches the Rfam family "Bacterial small subunit ribosomal RNA". The record is from RNAcentral. Lineage: Bacteria; Pseudomonadati; Pseudomonadota; Gammaproteobacteria; Enterobacterales; Enterobacteriaceae.